UGGGGAAUUUUGGACAAUGGGCGAAAGCCUGAUCCAGCAAUGCCGCGUGUGUGAAGAAGGCCUUCGGGUUGUAAAGCACUUUUGUCCGGAAAGAAAUCCUUGGCUCUAAUACAGUCGGGGGGAUGACGGUACCGGAAGAAUAAGCACCGGCUAACUACGUGCCAGCAGCCGCGGUAAUACGUAGGGUGCAAGCGUUAAUCGGAAUUACUGGGCGUAAAGCGUGCGCAGGCGGUUUGCUAAGACCGAUGUGAAAUCCCCGGGCUCAACCUGGGAACUGCAUUGGUGACUGGCAGGCUAGAGUAUGGCAGAGGGGGGUAGAAUUCCACGUGUAGCAGUGAAAUGCGUAGAGAUGUGGAGGAAUACCGAUGGCGAAGGCAGCCCCCUGGGCCAAUACUGACGCUCAUGCACGAAAGCGUGGGGAGCAAACAGGAUUAGAUACCCUGGUAGUCCACGCCCUAAACGAUGUCAACUAGUUGUGGGGAUUCAUUUCCUUAGUAACGUAGCUAACGCGUGAAGUUG
RNAcentral lists this ribosomal RNA (519 nucleotides) under uncultured bacterium. Its description in RNAcentral is "partial 16S ribosomal RNA". It matches the Rfam family "Bacterial small subunit ribosomal RNA", at positions 355 to 867 of the family's 1533-position model. The record is from RNAcentral.